GGAGGGGGUCGGACGGUCGAUCGGGUUUCGGCCCGGUAGGAAAGUCCGGACUCCGCAGGGCAGGACGGCCGCCAACCGCGGCCCCGCGCAAUCGGGGGAAAGUGCCACAGAAAACCAGACGGCCGUGAGCGCUUCGGCGUUCGCGGUCAGGGUGAAAAGGUGGGGUAAGAGCCCACCGGCCGCGCGCGAGAGCCGCGGCGCUCGACAAACCCCGUCCGGAGCAAGGUCAAACUGGGGGAGGGUGGCCCGCCCGUCGAACCCGGGUCCGACCGCAUCGAGCCCACGAGCAAUCGUGCGCCCAGAGGAAUGACCGUCGCUCGGUCCGUUACGACCGAGGACAGAAUCCGGCUUACAGACCCCCUCCGUUU
This 368-nucleotide RNase P RNA is filed under the name Binatia bacterium. Its description in RNAcentral is "RNase P RNA component class A". It matches the Rfam family "Bacterial RNase P class A". Rfam says of the family: Ribonuclease P (RNase P) is a ubiquitous endoribonuclease, found in archaea, bacteria and eukarya as well as chloroplasts and mitochondria. Its best characterised activity is the generation of mature 5'-ends of tRNAs by cleaving the 5'-leader elements of precursor-tRNAs. The record is from RNAcentral. Lineage: Bacteria; Candidatus Binatota; Binatia (SeqCode).